CCUCCUUAUAACGAAGUUACACUUACAGAGUGUUCACACAAAUAAUUAAUUACGAAGUUUUAAGAGAGCUCUAACCCAUGCGCACAGUAUGUGCUCAUCAGUUAGGGUUUUUAACCCGGACGUGUAAACGUCAUGCUCUUUAACAAUUUGGAAAGCUGAUAAAAUAAGGUAAACAUUAUUGUUUAUUUAAUUUGUUAUUCAACAAUUUAAAAAAUAAUUUUGAUUAUCACUGUAAGAGAAAACUCAAGCGUUAUUUAUGUCAAAACGAACAUGCCUAUACAACAUGUUUCGUUAAUAAAUAUGACACAAGAUGAUGCAAUCGAGAAUGUGAGAACAUUUAAGGUUGUAUGGUUAAGUGAAUAAGCGUAUACGGUGGAUGC
RNAcentral lists this unclassified non-coding RNA (380 nucleotides) under uncultured Gammaproteobacteria bacterium. RNAcentral describes it as "partial 16S-23S ribosomal RNA intergenic spacer". Lineage: Bacteria; Pseudomonadati; Pseudomonadota; Gammaproteobacteria. The record is from RNAcentral.